RNAcentral lists this unclassified non-coding RNA (364 nucleotides) under uncultured bacterium. RNAcentral describes it as "contains 16S-23S intergenic spacer region". The record is from RNAcentral.
UCCCCGUUGCCGGGGCAGUCUAGCCAGAGAAUUCAACUGACUAUAAGGGUUGCGCUCGUUGAGGGACUUAACCCUACAUCUCACGACACGAGCUGACGACGGCCAUGCAUCACCUGUCACCUAUCCAACUAAAUGAAGUUUUCCUUUCGGAAAACGGCUAUAGGGAUGUCAAGCCCUGGUAAGGUUCUUCGCUUACCGUCGAAUUAAACAACACGCUCCACCGCUUGUGCGGGUCCCCGUCAAUUCCUUUAUGUUUUAGCCUUGCGGCCGUACUCCACAGGCGGGAUGCUUAACGCGUUAGCUUCGCUACUAUCAGGGUCGAUACUGAUAACAGCUAGCAUCCAUCGUUUACGGCGUGGACUAC